AUUGAUGUAGAUAUUGGAUCAUCCUCAGUUGCAAGGAGUGUGAUUGGCCUUGUCCUUGGAUAUGUCACAAGCUUAGUUGUUGAUCUUGCAAUUUUGAUAGAGGCAAAAGAAGAAGAAGAGUUGCCUGAGUAUAUUCUUGGCACUGUCCGGCUAAAUCGUGUGAGGGUUGACACUGCAGUACCUUUGGAGGCUUAGGGUAUUCAUUUGUCAACAUUCUUAUUCAUCACAUUUUCAUUUUUUCCAUAUUAGUUUUUGAUUAUUAGAUCAUGACUAUAAGGAUUUGGCUUUCCCAAUAAUUAUAUGUACAAAAGUAUGAUUUAUAUAUACACCUCAUCACACACACACACACACACACAGCAAUAAUA
Molecule: unclassified non-coding RNA, 365 nt
Filed under: Hevea brasiliensis (rubber tree)
Lineage: Eukaryota; Viridiplantae; Streptophyta; Magnoliopsida; Malpighiales; Euphorbiaceae
Source: RNAcentral